This 663-nucleotide ribosomal RNA is filed under the name uncultured Glissomonadida. RNAcentral describes it as "SSU rRNA". It matches the Rfam family "Eukaryotic small subunit ribosomal RNA", at positions 493 to 1151 of the family's 1831-position model. The record is from RNAcentral. Lineage: Eukaryota; Cercozoa; Glissomonadida.
UUUUUAGGUCUGGUAAUUGGAAUGAGUACAAUUUAAAUCCCUUAACGAGUAUCCAUUGGAGGGCAAGUCUGGUGCCAGCAGCCGCGGUAAUUCCANCUCCNAUAGCGUAUAUNAAAGUUGCUGCAGUUAAAAAGCUCGNAGUUGGAUUUCUGGGCUCAAGAAUUUGGCCGGCCACGGUUUCGUGUGUUAGAUGCUUUGUUCUGUGUCCAUCCUUCCAAUCGCCGUUGGCUCUUCUUCAUUGAUUGGNCAACGGNAUUGGAUCUUUUACUUUGAAAAAAUUAGAGUGUUUCAAGCAGGCUUUAUGCUAUGAAUACACUAGCAUGGAAUAAUAAUUUAGGACUUCGGUUCUAUUUUGUUGGUUUCUAGGACUGAAGUAAUGAUUGAUAGGGAUAGUUGGGGGUGCUAGUAUUCAGCGGCCANAGGUGAAAUUCUCGGAUUCGCUGAAGACUAACUUAUGCGAAAGCAUUCACCAAGGAUGUCUUCUUUAAUCAAGAACGAAAGUUGGGGGAUCGAAGACGAUCAGAUACCGUCGUAGUCUCAACCAUAAACUAUGCCNACUAGGGAUGAGUGAACGUUGCAUUUUCGACUUCAUUCGCACCUUAUGAGAAAUCAAAGUCUUUGGGUUCCGGGGGGAGUAUGGUCGCAAGGCUGAAACUUAAAGGA